AGAGUUUGAUCAUGGCUCAGGAUGAACGCUGGCGGCGUGCCUAAUACAUGCAAGUCGAACGAGGUGCUUUUGUAGCAAUACGAGAGUAUCCUAGUGGCGAACGGGUGAGUAACGCGUUGGUGACCUACCCCAAAGUGUGGGAUAACAGUCCGAAAGGACUGCUAAUACCGCAUGUGGUCGUUGGAUUUAGAAACUGAUGACUAAAGGAGCAAUUCGCUUUGGGAGGGACCUGCGUCCCAUCAGCUAGUUGGUGAGGUAACGGCUCACCAAGGCGACGACGGGUAGGGGACCUGAGAGGGUGGCCCCCCACAAUGGAACUGAAACACGGUCCAUACACCUACGGGUGGCAGCAGUAGGGAAUAUUGCACAAUGGGCGAAAGCCUGAUGCAGCAACGCCGCGUGUGUGAUGAGGGCCUUCGGGUCGUAAAGCACUUUUCUGGGAGAUGAGAAAGGACAGUAUCCCAGGAAUAAGUCUCGGCUAACUACGUGCCAGCAGCCGCGGUAAUAC
Molecule: ribosomal RNA, 508 nt
Filed under: uncultured bacterium
Lineage: Bacteria
Description: bacterial SSU rRNA
Rfam family: Bacterial small subunit ribosomal RNA
Source: RNAcentral